UACGGAGGGGGCAAGCGUUGUUCGGAAUUACUGGGCGUAAAGCGCGCGUAGGCGGUUGGCAUAGUCAGGCGUGAAAUCCCGGGGCUCAACCCCGGAACUGCGCUUGAUACUGGCUAACUAGAGGUCGGGAGAGGGUAGUGGAAUUCCCAGUGUAGAGGUGAAAUUCGUAGAUAUUGGGAAGAACACCAGCGGCGAAGGCGGCUACCUGGACCGAAUCUGACGCUGAGGUGCGAAAGCGUGGGGAGCAAAC
Molecule: ribosomal RNA, 250 nt
Filed under: uncultured bacterium
Lineage: Bacteria
Description: partial 16S ribosomal RNA
Rfam family: Bacterial small subunit ribosomal RNA
Source: RNAcentral